UACGUAGGGGGCUAGCGUUGUCCGGAAUCACUGGGCGUAAAGCGCACGUAGGCGGAUGUGCCAGUCAGGGGUGAAAUCCCGGAGCUCAACUUCGGAACUGCCUCUGAUACAGCACGUCUUGAGUCCGGAAGAGGUGGGUGGAAUUCCUAGUGUAGAGGUGAAAUUCGUAGAUAUUAGGAAGAACACCGGUGGCGAAGGCGGCCCACUGGUCCGGUACUGACGCUGAGGUGCGAAAGCGUGGGGAGCAAACAGG
RNAcentral lists this ribosomal RNA (253 nucleotides) under uncultured bacterium. RNAcentral's name for it is "partial 16S ribosomal RNA". It matches the Rfam family "Bacterial small subunit ribosomal RNA", at positions 524 to 776 of the family's 1533-position model. The record is from RNAcentral.